This 253-nucleotide ribosomal RNA is filed under the name uncultured bacterium. Its description in RNAcentral is "partial 16S ribosomal RNA". It matches the Rfam family "Bacterial small subunit ribosomal RNA", at positions 524 to 776 of the family's 1533-position model. The record is from RNAcentral.
UACGUAGGCAGCGAGCGUUGUUCGGAGUUACUGGGCGUAAAGGGUGUGUAGGCGGUUGUUUAAGUUUGGUGUGAAAUCUCCCGGCUCAACCGGGAGGGUGCGCCGAAUACUGAAUGACUAGAGUGCGGGAGAGGUGAGUGGAAUUCCUGGUGUAGCGGUGAAAUGCGUAGAUAUCAGGAGGAACACCGGUGGCGAAGGCGGCGUUCUGGACUGUUACUGACGCUGAUGCACGAAAGCUAGGGGAGCAAACAGG